Molecule: ribosomal RNA, 468 nt
Filed under: uncultured bacterium
Lineage: Bacteria
Description: partial 16S ribosomal RNA
Rfam family: Bacterial small subunit ribosomal RNA
Source: RNAcentral
GACGAACGCUGGCGGCGUGCUUAACACAUGCAAGUCGAACGGAAGGGCCCUGCUUUUGUGGGGUGCUCGAGUGGCGAACGGGUGAGUAACACGUGAGUAACCUGCCCUUGACUUUGGGAUAACUUCAGGAAACUGGGGCUAAUACCGGAUAGGAGCUCCUGCUGCAUGGUGGGGGUUGGAAAGUUUCGGCGGUUGGGGAUGGACUCGCGGCUUAUCAGCUUGUUGGUGGGGUAGUGGCUUACCAAGGCUUUGACGGGUAGCCGGCCUGAGAGGGUGACCGGCCACAUUGGGACUGAGAUACGGCCCAGACUCCUACGGGAGGCAGCAGUGGGGAAUAUUGCACAAUGGGCGGAAGCCUGAGGCAGCAACGCCGCGUGCGGGAUGACGGCCUUCGGGUUGUAAACCGCUUUCGCCUGUGACGAAGCGUGAGUGACGGUAAUGGGUAAAGAAGCACCGGCUAACUACGUG